This 497-nucleotide ribosomal RNA is filed under the name uncultured bacterium. RNAcentral describes it as "partial 16S ribosomal RNA". It matches the Rfam family "Bacterial small subunit ribosomal RNA", at positions 28 to 507 of the family's 1533-position model. The record is from RNAcentral.
GAUGAACGCUGGCGGCGUGCCUAAUACAUGCAAGUCGAGCGAACGGACAGGAAGCGUGCUUCUCUGAUGUUAGCGGCGGACGGAUGAGUAACGCAUGGAUAACCUACCUCUUUUUCUUGGGUGACUUCGGGAAACCGGUGCUACUACCAGCUAAUAUUUUGAACCGCAUGGUUCAAAAGUGAAUGACGGUCUUGCUGUCACUAAUAGAUGGAUCCGCUCUGCAUUAGCUAGUUGGUAAGGUAACGGCUCACCAAGGCAACGAUGCAUAUCCGACCUGAGAGGGGGGUCGGACACACUGGAACUGAGACACGGUCCAGACUCCUACGGGAGGCAGCAGUAGGGAAUCUUCCGCAAUGGGCGAAAGCCUGACGGAGCAACGCCGCGGGAGUGAAGAAGGUCUUCGGAUCGUAAAACCCUUUUAUUAGGGAAGAACAAAUGUGUAAGUAACUGCGCACUUCUUGAAGGUACCCAAUCAGAAAGCCACGGCUAACUACGUG